RNAcentral lists this ribosomal RNA (420 nucleotides) under uncultured bacterium. RNAcentral describes it as "bacterial SSU rRNA". It matches the Rfam family "Bacterial small subunit ribosomal RNA", at positions 355 to 787 of the family's 1533-position model. The record is from RNAcentral.
UGGGGAAUAUUGCACAAUGGGCGAAAGCCUGAUGCAGCGACGCCGCGUGGGGGAUGACGGCCUUCGGGUUGUAAACCCCUUUCGGCAGGGAAGAAGCGCAAGUGACGGUACCUGCAGAAGAAGCGCCGGCUAACUACGUGCCAGCAGCCGCGGUAAUACAGAGGGUGCAAGAGUUAAUCGGAAUUACUGGGCGUAAAGCGCGCGUAGGUGGUUUGUUAAGUCGGAUGUGAAAGCCCUGGGCUCAACCUGGGAAUUGCAUUUAGAACUGGCAGGCUAGAGUUUUGGAGAGGGGAGUGGAAUUCCAGGUGUAGCGGUGAAAUGCGUAGAUAUCUGGAGGAACAUCAGUGGCGGAGGCGACUCCCUGGUCAGUAACUGACGCUCAUGUGCGAAAGUGUGGGUAGCGAACAGGAUUAGAUACCC